Long non-coding RNA from Erigeron canadensis, 1375 nucleotides. RefSeq lists it as uncharacterized. NCBI's taxonomy places the organism in Eukaryota, Viridiplantae, Streptophyta, Magnoliopsida, Asterales, Asteraceae. The record is from RefSeq and is a predicted model, not a curated record. The transcript is spliced from 10 exons.
UAUCAAAUCAUAAGGUCAAACAAGAAAGCUUAAAUCUGGUGGUUUCCAACACCAAUCUUGAGAAACAAGAUUUUCAAAUUAAGCUUUGUUGGUUCCCUAUAAAAAACGAAAUUCCAUACUAUCUUCUUCAACAAUUCAAAUACAAUUUUCUUUUCUCAUUCCUCAAAUACUCUUCUCGAUCUGCUUUUAAUCCAACAACCAGUGAUGGUACAAGAGUCGUUCUAAGAAUCAUAUGAAGAAUCGUCUCCUGGUCGAGCACAAACUAGCAGUUGCUUAAGUAGUGGCUUUCCGGGUUUUAUUGAAGUUGAAUGUCAUACUGCAAGCUUGGUCAGUGCACAGUUCCUAAAGAGAUGGAAUUAUGGUCACCUGGCCAAUAAAAUGGGUUAUGGGUAUCUGGCAAAAAAAUGUCGCAGUUCAUUGAAAGUAGAGGUAAAGAAGGAUUGAAAGAGCUUUGGAGGGAAAGACUUAUUAAGUGUGGUUGGAAAGAUGACAUGAAAUCUCUUUGCAGCUGGUAGACAAGAGACAAGGAGUUAAAGGAACACGUAGAUAAGAUUUCUUAAGCAUACCACCAUCAAAUUGUCAUGCUCAAGCAAAAGUACAAUGGUUUCACAUGUUCUUAGAAACCUCGAUAUAGUAGCACUAAAUGUCAUUUCUCCAGGAACUUAAAGGUGAUCACAGCUACCCCGAGACAAAUUGCAAGUCUGAUACGGCUGAGCAAGGCCCAUGAUCGGAUUCAAUUCUCGGAAUAGAAAAAAAAGAGACUCUGAAGGUUAUCUUGGGUGUGAGCUCAAAGAUGGGCGAUGAAGCACAACCCCUCUCUCGUUAGAUGCGGAGGAGCAGAUUACAUCUCCUUAACAUUAAAUAAUCUCCCUCACAAUAAAAUUAUCCCAAUGACAGAUACGUAUCCUGCUUAUAAAGAAGAACGAAAACUGGACAAAUUGAAAUAUAAUGGUUAUGAUAUUAGUUUUCUUAUCACUGAUUACCAUUGUGAGGAGAUGCAGAAGCAUAAGCUUAUCGACUUCAUUGUGCAAUUCAUGGAAGAUAUUGAUAAAUUGAUAAAGAGAUUAGUGAACUGAAAUUGUCUAUGAAUACACGAGGAAGAUUAGUGGCAACUGAAUUUCUGAAGCAAUUAUGAGAUGUGUAAAUGCAAAGAUGGUGGUCUAAAUCUAAGUGUUCAUUUGUUUGGAGGAAUUUUUAUAUUGGGCCAACAUUGGAUAAAUUGGAUCCCAUGGAAUGUAUUUAGCAUAAGAGGUUGGGCCGUUGGGAAUGGGCUGAAACUUGGAAAUAGACAAGAUUACAGUCUUGAUGUUUUUAUGUCAAUUGCAUGUAAUUGGUAAUAUGGUGUGAAUGGUUAGCAGAAUAUGAUUUUAGUCAA